UAAGCACUUCAUGCUCAGUUUGAGUAACAAAGCCCUUUUCUUUACAGGUUGCUAGACUGACUGAAUGUGAGAGAAUAUUAGUGGCAUUGGAACUUAGCAUCUUUUUGAAUGAUUCCAGUUAUGUCCUUCAAGCUGUGACUCAGUGUUAUGGCCUCCUUGCUCCUAUAAUAUAUCACAAUAUUGUUUUGGUACCUGUUGUACAGAUUCUACGUUCAUGGAAGGAAUAUGAUAUGGCAGCAAUGGUUAUAAAUUAUGGAAAAAAGAUGUUGGACAUCACAACAGAGUGCAGGUCACUAUUUGGUAAGAAUGAUCCAGAAGAAAUACCAGAUGAGGGUUCGUCUAAGAAAUCUGUAAAAACUAAGAAGCCACAACAGAUAUUGUUGCCUGAAAAAUUAAAUGAACAAUUGACCUUGUUGGAGACACACCUACUCAAACUGAUAAAACAAUAUGUUGCGGCUGAACUCUCAGGAGGAGAAGACCCUAUAUUUCUUUACCCUGUGGUUUUAAAUUGGUCAGUGAAAGGUGCUGUGAAAGAAGUUAUGAAAUUUAAGCACAGACCUAGAUUCCUGGAAUUUUUUACUCAAGUUAUGCUUAAAUGCCUGAAUGAUGAAAAAUUUUCCCUUUUGUUGGAGAUAACAAUUCCUGUCCUUGACUUCUUGAAAAGGAGGAAUGAAUCCCUAAUUGGACAAAGAAGAAUAAAAUAUAGGGACAAUUUUGCUUAUAAAAAGGCAAAUGUACCUUCAAAGAA
Molecule: long non-coding RNA, 748 nt
Filed under: Ictidomys tridecemlineatus (thirteen-lined ground squirrel)
Lineage: Eukaryota; Metazoa; Chordata; Mammalia; Rodentia; Sciuridae
Description: lncRNA (ENSSTOG00000030173.1)
Source: RNAcentral